CACAACCCUUCUCGUCCGGUUUGCGGGUCUUUCGAGCAUCCCGAGUGAUACCAGGGUCCUCCAUGGAGGGCUCAGGGAGCAGAGGAAGGGAUGGAUCUCAGGGCCUCCUGCAUGUUAGACGAAACCCUCUCCGAAGAGCAGUUGCCCACACCUGAUAGGGCAAGAGAAUGUGGGGACAUCUUCCUUACUAGAUCCUCAUGGAUACAUGGCUCAAGUCUGGCUUUUUCCUGUACGAAAUCUCCCUAUAAUUUUUAUGUUUGCUCAUGAAACUUGCAUUCACGCUGAGAAUCUUUAUGCAUAGACUCACAGACAAACCUAGGAAAUAGAAAACAAAUGCCUGCCAAUGAUCAUCAAGAAUGAACACAAAACGGGCGCGCACACCCCCACGGAGGGGAUGGGGGGCAGGGAGGAGAAUAUAAAACGAGAGGCGGGGCGCGCACCGCGGCAGAAGGAGCGAAGCUCUGGCCCAGCGAGGAGUGGGCGAGUACCGGGACGCGGGUCCAGGACGCGGGUCCUGGGCAUCAGGCUGUGUGAAGUCAGCGCGCUCACCUAAGCGCUCACCUAACCGUGAUCCUCGCCACCCCGAGCCAGGAACAGCGAUCUCCUAAGGCCCGCCUGAGGCCUCCGUUCCCCGUCCAACGGCAGCGACGACGUCUUGCACCCUGCCAGCUCGGCGCUCCCGACCCUCGACCCUCUCGUGCCCCCGCCCUGCCUCCGCUUCUCCGCGGAUGCAGCCCGAACAAGACCACUCAAGGUGAAGGAUAAUCUAUAAUACCAGCACUUUGAAUGAGAAUUUGUU
Non-coding RNA from Marmota flaviventris (yellow-bellied marmot), 799 nucleotides. The record is from RefSeq and is a predicted model, not a curated record. NCBI's taxonomy places the organism in Eukaryota, Metazoa, Chordata, Mammalia, Rodentia, Sciuridae.